Molecule: ribosomal RNA, 476 nt
Filed under: Gemella haemolysans
Lineage: Bacteria; Bacillati; Bacillota; Bacilli; Caryophanales; Gemellaceae
Description: bacterial SSU rRNA
Rfam family: Bacterial small subunit ribosomal RNA
Source: RNAcentral
GACGAACGCUGGCGGCGUGCCUAAUACAUGCAAGUCGAGCGAAGUUUUUCUGGUGCUUGCACUAGAAAAACUUAGCGGCGAACGGGUGAGUAACACGUAAAGAACCUGCCUCAUAGACUGGGACAACUAUUGGAAACGAUAGCUAAUACCGGAUAACAGCAUUAACUGCAUGGUUGAUGUUUAAAAGUUGGUUUUGCUAACACUAUGAGAUGGCUUUGCGGUGCAUUAGCUAGUUGGUGGGGUAAAGGCCUACCAAGGCGACGAUGCAUAGCCGACCUGAGAGGGUGAUCGGCCACACUGGGACUGAGACACGGCCCAGACUCCUACGGGAGGCAGCAGUAGGGAAUCUUCCGCAAUGGGCGAAAGCCUGACGGAGCAACGCCGCGUGAGUGAAGAAGGAUUUCGGUUCGUAAAGCUCUGUUGUUAGGGAAGAAUGAUUGUGUAGUAACUAUACACAGUAGAGACGGACCUAACCA